RNAcentral lists this ribosomal RNA (254 nucleotides) under uncultured bacterium. RNAcentral's name for it is "partial 16S ribosomal RNA". It matches the Rfam family "Bacterial small subunit ribosomal RNA", at positions 524 to 776 of the family's 1533-position model. The record is from RNAcentral.
GACGUAGGGCGCGAGCGUUGUCCGGAUUUAUUGGGCGUAAAGAGCUCGUAGGCGGUCUAUCGCGUCGGUCGUGAAAACUUGGGGCUUAACCCUGAGCUUGCGGUCGAUACGGGCAUGACUGGAGUUCGGCAGGGGAGACUGGAAUUCCUGGUGUAGCGGUGAAAUGCGCAGAUAUCAGGAGGAACACCGGUGGCGAAGGCGGGUCUCUGGGCCGAUACUGACGCUGAGGAGCGAAAGCGUGGGGAGCGAACAGG